This 253-nucleotide ribosomal RNA is filed under the name uncultured bacterium. RNAcentral describes it as "partial 16S ribosomal RNA". It matches the Rfam family "Bacterial small subunit ribosomal RNA", at positions 524 to 776 of the family's 1533-position model. The record is from RNAcentral.
GACAGAGGGUGCAAACGUUGUUCGGAAUUACUGGGCGUAAAGGGCGCGUAGGCGGCCCGCUAAGUCGAACGUGAAAUCCCCGAGCUCAACUCGGGAACUGCGUCCGAUACUGGCGGGCUUGAAUCCGGGAGAGGGAUGCGGAAUUCCAGGUGUAGCGGUGAAAUGCGUAGAUAUCUGGAGGAACACCCGUGGCGAAGGCGGUUCUCUGGGACGGUACUGACGCUGAGACGCGAAAGCGUGGGGAGCGAACAGG